Molecule: ribosomal RNA, 891 nt
Filed under: uncultured Actinomycetes bacterium
Lineage: Bacteria; Bacillati; Actinomycetota; Actinomycetes
Description: bacterial SSU rRNA
Rfam family: Bacterial small subunit ribosomal RNA
Source: RNAcentral
UGCAGUCGAACGAGAAAGGGUAGCAAUACCUGAGUAAAGUGGCGUACGGGUGAGUAACACGUGGAUCAUCUGCCCUUUGGUGGGGAAUAACUUCUGGAAACGGAAGAUAAUACCGCAUAAGUCCGAGAGGAGAACGCAGCAAUGCGCCGAAGGAGGAGUCCGCGGCUGAUUAGCUAGUUGGUAGGGUAAUGGCCUACCAAGGCGACGAUCGGUAGCCGGCCUGAGAGGGCACACGGCCACACUGGCACUGAGACACGGGCCAGACUCCUACGGGAGGCAGCAGUGGGGAAUCUUGCACAAUGGGGGAAACCCUGAUGCAGCGACGCCGCGUGAGUGAUGAAGCCCUUCGGGGUGUAAAGCUCUUUCGACGGGAACGAUAAUGACGGUACCCGGAGAAGAAGCUGCGGCUAACUACGUGCCAGCAGCCGCGGUAAUACGUAGGCAGCAAGCGUUGUUCGGAAUUACUGGGCGUAAAGAGUACGUAGGUGGUUUGCUAAGUCCGAUGUGAAAUCUCCUGGCUUAACUGGGAGGGUGCGUUAGAUACUGGCAGGCUUGAAUGUGGGAGAGGAGAGCGGAAUUCCUGGUGUAGCGGUGAAAUGCGUAGAUAUCAGGAGGAACGCCUGUGGUGUAGACGGCUCUCUGGACCAUUAUUGACACUGAGGUACGAAAGCGUGGGUAGCAAACAGGAUAGAUACCCUGGUAGUCCACGCCCUAAACGAUGCAUACUUGGUGUGGGCAGUUCAGUCUGUCCGUGCCGGAGCUAACGCGUUAAGUAUGCCGCUGGGGAGUACGGUCGCAAGCUGAAACUCAAAGGAAUUGACGGGGGCCCGCACAAGCGGUGGACAUGUGGUUUAUUCGACGCACGCGAAAACCUUACCUGGGCUCGAACGG